AUUGAACGCUGGCGGCAUGCUUUACACAUGCAAGUCGAACGGCAGCAUGGGCUUCGGCCUGAUGGCGAGUGGCGAACGGGUGAGUAAUGCAUCGGAACGCGUCCUGUAAUGGGGGAUAACCUGGCGAAAGCCAGGCUAAUACCGCAUACGUCCUGAGGGAGAAAGCGGGGGAUCGUAAGACCUCGUGUUAUAGGAGCGGCCGAUGUCGGAUUAGCUUGUUGGUGGGGUAAAGGCCUACCAAGGCGACGAUCCGUAGCUGGUCUGAGAGGACGACCAGCCACACUGGGACUGAGACACGGCCCAGACUCCUACGGGAGGCAGCAGUGGGGAAUUUUGGACAAUGGGGGCAACCCUGAUCCAGCCAUGCCGCGUGAGUGAAGAAGGCCUCGG
Molecule: ribosomal RNA, 390 nt
Filed under: uncultured bacterium
Lineage: Bacteria
Description: bacterial SSU rRNA
Rfam family: Bacterial small subunit ribosomal RNA
Source: RNAcentral